AUGCAACGAUGUUUGGUGUGCAAUGGGUGCCGGCUGCAGGGAUGCAAUGAGUCCUGCGCCGCAAUGAUCCUGGGCAUCCGUGCAACGACUUUUGCAGCGCAAACGGGUGCCGGAUGCAACGGCUGUGGGAACGCAACAAGUCCCAUGCUGCAACGACCCCGUGCAUCCAUGCAACAGCUUUUGCCGUGCAGCGGGUGCUGGCCGCACCGGCUGCAAGGACGCAACGAGCCCCGCGCUGCAACGUCCCCCCGCACCCAUGCAGCGACUUUUUGGGGGGGGGGGCGGCGGGCUCCCCACCUACCUGUGCCUCCCCAGCGCUCCGCUCCUCUCCGCCCCGUAGCCGGCCUCGCCGCCCCCCCGGGGCCACCCCCCGCCGCUGCGCCCGGCCUCCUCCCAGGGCAGCGUGGGCGAGCGGCGGGGGGGGCCGGCGGAGGGGAUGUGGGGGGGGGGCUCCCCCCUCCUCCCCCCCCCCUCCCCGGCCCCGGCCCCCCCCCGGGGGCGCCCCCUCGCCCUGGCUCGCUCGGGGCCCUCCAGGAGGGCGGCGAAGGCCGGGGGGGGCUCGGCGCUUUCGGGGGGGUGGUCGCUGCUGCUGCGGCUGUCCACCUCCUCGAUGCCCGAGUCGGUCACCGCCUCGGUCCCCUCGGGGGGCACGGCGGUGACGAGGCCGCCCCCCCCCCGGCGGGGCUCGGCCACCGCCUGGGUGAGGGUGGCCACCUCGCUGUCGUAGGAGGUGAGGCUGGAGGCCGUCGAGUCGCCCACGGGGGCGGCGCUCUCCGCCGCCUCGAAGCUGUUGGAAAAUUCCAGGGGGGGCGGCAGGGGCUCGGCCAGCAGCAGCUCCUCGUCCCCGUCCACCGAGGGGGCCGGGGGGGGCAAGGCCAGCAGCCCCCCCGCCUCGGCGAAGCGCACCCGCAGCUCCAAGCGAGCCUCGGCGCCCCCCGCCGCCAGCCACGGCUCGGCGGGCGACGGGGGGCGGCUGGAGCGCCGGGGGGGUUCCGCCCGGGGGGGGCCGGCGGGGGCGGCUUUGGGGAGCGGAGGGGGCGCCGCUUGCAAGGCCGCCGCCCCGGCUUGCAACGCCCCGCCUUGCAGCGCCCCGCUCUGCAACGGCGCCGGCGCCGCUUGCAACGGCGCCGCCUUGGAGGCGCCCGCCGGCAAGGGCAGCGUGCCGGCCUGCAGGGCCUGCAGCGAGGCGAGGUUGGGUUGCAAGGCCAGGGCGCCGGCUUGCAAGGGCGCCAGCCCCGGCUGCAAGGCCAAGGCGCCCGCCUGCAGCGAGGCCAAGCCCGGCUGCAGCGGCCCCAAGCCCGCUUGCAGCGGCCCCAAGCCCGACUGCAGCGCCGCCAGCCCCGACUGCAGCGAGGCCGCCCCCGAGGGCAGCGGCACGCCGCCUUGCAGCGGCGCCAGCCCCGGCUGCAGCGGCGCCAGCCCGGCUUGCAGCGACACGGCCCCGGCUUGCAGCGGCAUGGUGGCCGCCUGCAGCGCCGCCAGCCCCUUGCAACCCGGCGCGGCGUGCAAGCCGGCGCCCGAGCGCAGCGCUGCAGCGCCGCCGCCGCCGCCGUGCAUGGGCGUCGAGGCGCCGCCGUGCAUGGGCGCCGCCGCGCCGGGGUGCACCGGCGAGCCCGCACCGUGCAUGGGCGAGCCCGCGCCGUGCACGGGCGAGGGCGCGCCGUGCAUGCCCGGGGCGCCGCCGUGCAGCGGCGCAGCCCCGGGGUGCAGCCCCGCUGCGGCCGCGUGCAUGGGUGCCGCCGCGUGCAUGGGUGCCGCAGCGGGGUGCCCCGGCACGCUGCUGAAGGCGCUGCCGGCCCCCCCUUUACCCCCCCGGUAACCCCGCGGGGGGAAGGCGUCGGCGGCGAACAUCCCCUCGUCGAUGCUCUUGGAGUGGCGCAGGCGGGGGGCGCCCACCGAGCCGGGGCCCCCCCCGGCGCCUUCCUCCUCUUCCUCGGUGGAGAGGAAGAGCGCCGAGCGCCUCCUCGACGCCUCCCCGGGCCACUCGCGCUCCCGCCUGGCCGCCCCCACCAGCGCGGCCCCGAACUGGGAGGUGAAAUCCAACUGGGGGGCCGGCGGCGGCGGGUGGGGGGCACCGGCGGAGCCGGGAGACGGAGGCGGGGGGCCGCCGGAGGAAGGGGGGGACGCCCCGCUUUCGUUGGCCCCCCCCGGGCCUGGGGGGGCCCCCUCGGCUUCCACGCUGCUGCCCCGGCUGCUGCGGCCGCUGCUGCUGGUGGAGGGGGCCUUGACCACGAUGGUGGGGAUGGCGAUGGAGCUCUUCUCGCCCCCCCCCGGCGCGCC
Molecule: long non-coding RNA, 2280 nt
Filed under: Anser brachyrhynchus (Pink-footed goose)
Lineage: Eukaryota; Metazoa; Chordata; Aves; Anseriformes; Anatidae
Description: lncRNA (ENSABRG00000000237.1)
Source: RNAcentral